This is a small nucleolar RNA of 78 nucleotides. It matches the Rfam family "Small nucleolar RNA snR52".
UUUGAUGAUGAUUAACAUGCGUGAACAAUCUCUUAGUUAAGCGAUGAUUAAAAAACAUAUGUUGCCUUCCUUCUGAAA